CUACGGGUCGCUCCAGUGGGGAAUAUUGCACAAUGGGGGAAACCCUGAUGCAGCAACGCCGCGUGAGUGAAGAAGGCUUUCGAGUCGUAAAGCUCUGUCCUAUGGGAAGAAUAGAUGACGGUACCAUAGGAGGAAGCCCCGGCUAACUACGUGCCAGCAGCCGCGGUAAUACGUAGGGGGCAAGCGUUAUCCGGAAUCAUUGGGCGUAAAGGGUGCGUAGGCGGCCAGACAAGUCAGAGGUGAAAGGCUACGGCUUAACCGUAGUAAGCCUUUGAAACUGUUUGGCUUGAGUGCAGGAGAGGAAAGUGGAAUUCCUAGUGUAGCGGUGAAAUGCGUAGAUAUUAGGAGGAACACCAGUGGCGAAGGCGACUUUCUGGACUGUAACUGACGCUGAGGCACGAAAGCGUGGGGAGCGAACAGGAUUAGAUACCCUUGUAGUC
Molecule: ribosomal RNA, 440 nt
Filed under: uncultured bacterium
Lineage: Bacteria
Description: partial 16S ribosomal RNA
Rfam family: Bacterial small subunit ribosomal RNA
Source: RNAcentral